This 455-nucleotide ribosomal RNA is filed under the name uncultured bacterium. RNAcentral's name for it is "bacterial SSU rRNA". It matches the Rfam family "Bacterial small subunit ribosomal RNA", at positions 46 to 518 of the family's 1533-position model. The record is from RNAcentral.
GCCUAACACAUGCAAGUCGAGCGAGGAGAUUCCUCGGGAUGAUCCUAGCGGCGGACGGGUGAGUAACACGUGGGCAACCUGCCUCAUAGAGAGGGAUAGCCUUCCGAAAGGGAGAUUAAUACCUCAUAACAUUGCAGUUUCCCAUGGAACAGCAAUUAAAGGAGUAAUCCGCUAUGAGAUGGGCCCGCGGCGCAUUAGCUAGUUGGUGAGGUAACGGCUCACCAAGGCGACGAUGCGUAGCCGACCUGAGAGGGUGAUCGGCCACAUUGGGACUGAGACACGGCCCAGACUCCUACGGGAGGCAGCAGUGGGGAAUAUUGCACAAUGGGGGAAACCCUGAUGCAAGCAACGCCGCGUGAGUGAUGACGGCCUUCGGGUUGUAAAGCUCUGUCUUCAGGGACGAUAAUGACGGUACCUGAGGAGGAAGCCACGGCUAACUACGUGCCAGCCGCUGC